GUGCUCACUUUGGCAGUACAUAUACUAAAAUUGGAACAAAAAGAGAAAAUUAGCAUGGUCCAUGUGAAACUGACAUGCAAAUUCAUGAAGCAUUCCUUAUUUUU
Peromyscus maniculatus bairdii (prairie deer mouse) is the source of this 104-nucleotide small nuclear RNA. Lineage: Eukaryota; Metazoa; Chordata; Mammalia; Rodentia; Cricetidae. The record is from Ensembl.